This 488-nucleotide ribosomal RNA is filed under the name uncultured bacterium. RNAcentral describes it as "bacterial SSU rRNA". It matches the Rfam family "Bacterial small subunit ribosomal RNA", at positions 28 to 514 of the family's 1533-position model. The record is from RNAcentral.
GAUGAACGCUGGCGGCGUGCUUAACACAUGCAAGUCGAACGAAGCAUUUACGACAGAUUUCUUCGGAUUGAAGUUGUUUAUGACUGAGUGGCGGACGGGUGAGUAACGCGUGGGUAACCUGCCUUGUACUGGGGGAUAGCAGCUGGAAACGGCUGGUAAUACCGCAUAAGCGCACAAUGUUGCAUGACAUGGUGUGAAAAACUCCGGUGGUAUAAGAUGGACCCGCGUCUGAUUAGCUAGUUGGUGAGAUAACAGCCCACCAAGGCGACGAUCAGUAGCCGACCUGAGAGGGUGACCGGCCACAUUGGGACUGAGACACGGCCCAGACUCCUACGGGAGGCAGCAGUGGGGAAUAUUGCACAAUGGGGGAAACCCUGAUGCAGCGACGCCGCGUGGAGGAAGAAGGUCUUCGGAUUGUAAACUCCUGUUGUUGAGGAAGAUAAUGACGGUACUCAACAAGGAAGUGACGGCUAACUACGUGCCAGCAG